GGAGAUCCCAGCUACUAGAGGACGCCCGUUCCAAUGGCAACUCUGCCAAGGCGCCUAUGAGAGCCUCUUGGCUUUUACCUGGUCUGCGAGAAAUCAAACUUUGGGCACAAGUCAUGAAGCCGACAAGCCCGGGAGACACAGUGUCAGAAUUACAAGGUGAGAUCAGCCGCCCGGCCAAGCUAUCUUCUCGCUAGCAGGAACACUACAAGGCCUGUUAGAGAAGAAAGGGUAGAAUCCCGAGAAUGUUUUCCCCACAGUGCUGAUAAGGAGAGACCACUAUCCCAUCUACUGCUACAGCUCUGGAGACAGAGCUCUCCCACCUGUCAUAUAGAACACAAGGACCAAUCUGCAGAGAAAGAGCAUCCAAACCUGAUCCAGUGGACACUGGGGAAAAACUCACCACAGCUGAGUGUGGAAAAACAAGGCCAACACACACAUCUCUGCACAGAUACAUCUCCCAUAAAGAAACUAAAGUGUUAAUUUACAGGGCACUGUUGCAGACCCACUUCAGCUGGAAGCUAGGAACAUGGACAAGGAGCCUCUCUACCACCAAGGGAGAGAGAGGAAUGUGCUCUUGUCCUGGCAUUGCAUCCACAGGAGGGGCAGGAAAUUCUUUGAAGGUCUCGCAUCUGGGGCUCGAUCUCGUGCAGAGGAGCAUUUCCGAAGACACUGGCCGCUCCCACAAUGGCUCCGAAGAACCCAGCGACCAGCGGGUUCAUGAGUUUGUUGGGGCUGUCCACUCGGUACCAGCUGCGCAGGGAUGUCAGGACAAAGAAACAAGUUGCCUGGUUCCAGCCCUGCUUCAGCACGGGGCCUGUGGGGCCCCGGUAAGUCCCGGUGUUCCCGCACAAUCUCCUAACCCUGUGGAAGAAUCCCCUGUACUUGGAUUUGGAGAGGUCUGGCCAUGGAUUAACUUCACCUUGAUGGUCUCCAUGGGACAUAGGACCACCACGGCCUCGGCCACGCUAGCUCACUGGCCGCACCGCUGCCCGCCUUGCUGUUCACCAGUCCCUGGGCAUCCCGCAUCUGGUUGCUGAGGAACGCCUGACGCCGCCUUGUGGAUGAAGCCGCAGAGCAGGGAGCUGAGGCUGCGGCCCAGGCCCAGGCUGCCUUGGCUGCGACUGUGUGCCUGCAGGCCCCAUGCCCGGUAUCCGGUGGAUGCGAGUGCUAGUCCAGCUGCAGCUGCAUCUUCACGAACUCGGUGGGGAACGGGAUGCAGAUUUUUUUUUUCUUUUCCUUCCUUCCUUCCUUCCUUCCAACUUCCUUCCUUCCUUCCCCUUUCUUUCUUUCUUUUUUUUUUUUUUUUUUUUUUGACAGAAUUUUGCUCUUGUCCCCCAGGCUGGAGUGCAGUGGCGCGAUCUUGGCUCACUACAACCUGGAUUCAAGCGAUUCUCCUGCCUCAGCCUCCCGAGUAGCUGGGAUUACAGGCAUGUGCCACCAUUCCCGGCUAAUUUUUUUGUCUUUUUAGUAGAGACGGUGUUUCCCCAUGUUGGUCAGGCUGGUCUCAAACGCCUGACUCAGAUGAUCCGCCCGCCUCGGCCACCCAAAGUGCUGAGAUUACAGGCUUGAACCACCGCGCCUGGCCCUGUGAUGUAGAUUUUGAUGCUGCCAGCCAGGCUGCCUGCCGGGAUCGCCUGCCCUGGAGCAGGAGCAUCAGCCGUGCGUUCCAGGACGCAGGCAUGGCAUGACCGGCAGGAGGCGGAGUGCCCGGCGUCUCUUGGGAUCGGAGCCUCCUGAAUUCCACGCUGGGACCUUAAUUUGGUUUUAACACAAAUAAAGAUCUCACAUAAAGAUAAAAGGGGAUGUGUUGGCUUGUAAUUUUUGUUAAAAGCAAUGGUAUAUGUUGUAUAGGAUAGUGUAUUGGGAUCAACAGGUUUUUGGGGUUUUUUUUCAGCCCACUGACAUUGAAAGGGAUAAACAGUUUUUUGGUUAUUAGUGAGCAGUUUUCUCUCAGGCCAUAGUGUAGGGGUUUGUGGUCAUGUAGAUGAGAGAUAGGCUGGGAUUAAAAUUUGUUAUGGCAGUAAUAAGAGCAACAGAGCUAGACUCUGUCAAAAAAAAAAAAAACAUAGUUAGUAGAAGAAAAAAAUCAUAGGAUUAUAGGAUUAGAGCAGAAAAAAAUAAAACAAAAACUACAAAAGAUUAAUGAAAAUAUUUGGCCUUUUAGAAAAGUUAAAAAUUGGCAAACCUUCAGCAGACUAAACAUUUUUUUUUUAAUUCAAAUAAAAAAACGAGUUAAAAAAGGAGAUAUUACAACAGAUAACACACAAAUUCAAAGAUUGGUUUGUGGCUACUAUAAGCAACUGUAUGCCAAUACAUUGGAAAAUCUAAAAAAAAAAAAAAAAUAGACAAACUCCUAGAGACAUACAACCUACCAAGAUUAAACAGUAAAGAAAUCCAAAACCUAAACAGACCAAUAACAAUUAAUGAGAUUGAAGCUUUAAUAAAAAAACUCUUCCAGGAAAGAACAGCCCAGGACCUGAUGGCUUCAUUACUGAAUUUUACCAAACAUUUCAAGAAGUAAUACCAAUUCCUAUUCAAACUAUUCUGAAAAAUAAGGAGGAGGGAAUACUUUCAAACUCAUUCUAUGAGGCCAGUUUUACCCUGAUAUCAAAACCAGACAAAGAUACAUCAAAAAAAGGAAACUGCAGGCCAAUAUCUCUGAUAAAUACUGAUGCAAAAAUCUCAACAAAAUACUAGCAAACAGAAUUCAACAAUACAUUAAAAAGAUUAUUCAUUAUGACCAAGUGGGGUGUAUCCCUGGGAUGCAAACAUAGUUUAAUAUACACAAAUCAAUAAAUGUGAUAUGUCAUAUCACCAGAAUGAGGAAAACAGCGUGGUACUAGCAUAAGAACAAACACAUAGACCAGUGAAAAAGGAUAGAGAACCCAGCAACAAAUCCACACAUUUACAGAAAACUCAUUUUUGACAAAGAUAUCAAGAACAUACAGUGGGGCAAAGACAGUCUCUUCAAUAAAUGGUGCUGGGGAAACUGGAUAUCCAUAUGCAAAAGAAUAAAACUGGAUUCCUAUCUCCCACCAUAUCCAAAAACAAAUCAAAAUUAAUUAAACAUGUGAAUAUAAGACCUCAAAUUAUAUAAAACUACUAUAUAUAAAAAAGUUGUGAAAAAUUUUCAGGACAUCAGUAUGGGCAAAAAUUUCUUGAGUAAUACCCCACAACCAUAGGCAACCUAAGCAAAAAUAGACAAAUGGAAUCAGAUCAAGGUGAAAAGCUUCUGCACAGCUAAGGAAACAAUCCACAAAGAGAAGAGACAACCCACAGAAUGGGAGAAAAUACUUGCAAACCACUCAACUGACAAGUUAAUAAUCAGAAUAUAGAAAGAGCUCAAACAAGUCUAUAGAAAAACAUCUAAUAAUUCAAUUAAAAUAUUGGCAAAAGAUUUGAAGAGGCAUUUCUCUAAAGAAAGCAUACAAAUGGGAAACAGGCAUAUAAAAGUUGAACCUCAGAGAAAUGCAAAUCAGAACUACAGUGAGAUAUUAUCUCACCCCAGUUGAAAUGUCUUAUAUCCAAAAGACAGACAUUAACAAAUGCUGACGAGGAUGUGGAGAAAAGGGAACUUUUGUGCACUGUUGGUGGUAAUGUAAGUUAGUACAACCACUAUAAAAAAAACAUUUUGAAGGUUUCUUAAAAAACUAAAAGUGAGCUACCAUAGCUACCAUGCAACCCAGCAAUCCCAGUACUGGGUAUAUACCCAAAAGAAAGAAAAUCAGCUUGUUGCUUCACUGUUUACAAUAGCUAUGAUUUGAAAGCAAACUGUCUACCAACAGAUGAAUGGAUUAAAAAAAAUGUAGCACAUAUAUACAAUGGAGUAGUAUUCAGCCAUAAAAAUGAGAUUUUGUCUUUUGCAACAAUGUGGAUAAAAGUGGAGAGUAUGUUAAGUGAAAUAAGUCAGACACAGAAAGACAAACUUGGCAUGUUCUCACUUACCUGUGGGAUCUAAAAAUCAAAACAAUUGAACCCAUGGACGUGGAGAGAAGAGGUUAGUUUUCUUAACCUCUUUGAGAGGUUAAGCAAGAUAGUAGGGGCUGGCGGAAAGGUGGGGACUGUUAAUGGGUACAAUAAAUAGAAUAAAUAUAACCUACUAUUUGGUAGCACAAGAUGACUAUAGUCAAUAAUAAUUUAAUUGUACAUUUUAUUUUAUAUUUUAUAUUUUAUUUUAUAUAUUUUAUUUUAUUGAGGUAGAGUCUUGCUCUUGUCACCCAGGCUGGAGUGCAAUGGUGCAGUCUUGUCUCACUGCAACCUUUGCCUCCCAGGUUUAAGCAAUUCUCCUGCCUCAGCCUCCUGAGUGGCUGGGAUUGCAGCCACCUGCCACCAUGCCCAGCUAAUUUUUUGUAUUUUUAGUAGAGAUGGGUUUUCACCACAUGCCCAGCCAAUUGCACAUUUUAAACUAAGAGAGAAUAAUUAGACUGUAAGACAAAAAAUAAAUGCUUAAGUGGGGGAGGGUGUAUCCCAUUCUCUAUGAUGGGAGUAUUAUGUAUUUCAUGCCUGUAUCAAAACAUCUCAUUUAUCCCCAUAAAUAUAUACACCUACUGUGUACCCACAAAAGUUAAAUAAAUUAAAUUUAAAAAAUUAAAAAAUAAAAUAGCAUAGAAUUAAGUAGGCCCAGAAAUAUGAGGAUUUUAAUGAAAUGAUAAUACCUAAGUAAUAAUCAAUCAAGAAGUAAAAACAAAGUCAUACUUCACUCCCAUUUUUGUUUCUAAUCUAUAUGUUUUCUACUUUAAAGCUGUAGAAUUUUCUUUUUUUCAUUGCUAAUUAUAUUUUAAUGUGACUAGUCUGGGUCUAUUUUUUCUAAAAUUUUCAGUUUUUCUAUAUAAUUUUUCUCUAACUUUUAGUUUCUUUGUUUAUGCCCCUUAUAUUUUUGAGAAGUGUCUAUUCAGAUUUUUGCCCAUUUUAAAACUGGAUUAUUUAAUUAUUUUCUAUUGAGUUUUUUGUUUCUUUUGUAUUCUGCUUAUCAAUCGCUUGUCGGAUGUGUAGCUUGCACAUAUUUUCUCUCUUAUCUCUUUUUUCUUUUUGAGACAGAGUCUCUCUCAUCACCCAGCCUAGUGUGCAGUGGCACGAUCUCAGCUCACUGCAACCUCUGCCUCCCAGAUUCAAGCGAUUCUCCUGCCUCAGCCUCCCAAGUAGCUGGGAUUACAGGCGUGUGUCACUGCGCCCAGCUAAUUUUUGUAUUUUUAGUAGAAACAGGGUUUCUCCAUGCUGGCCAGGCUGGUCUUAAACUCCUGACCUCAGGUGAUUCACCUACCUCGGCCUCGCAUAGUGCUGGGAUUACAGGCAUAAGCCACCAUGCCCAGCCUUAUUUUCUCUCAUUUUAGGAAUUGUCUCUUCAUUUUAUUGAUUGUUUCCUUUGCUGUGCAGAAGUUUUUUGUAUGAUGUGAUCUCAUUUGUACAUUUUACUCUCAUUCCCUGUGCUUUUGAAACAUUAUUUAAAAAUCUUUGCUCAGAUCAAUAACCCGCAGUGUUUUUCUAAGGUUUUUUUGUGGUAGUUUUAUAGUUUCACGUAUUCGAUUUAAGUAUUUAAUCCAUUUCUAUUUGAUUUUUGUAUGGAGUGAGAGAUAGGGGUCUAGUCUUAUUCUUCUACCUAUGGAUAUUCAGUUUUCCCAGCAUCAUUUACAGAAAAGACCAUCAUUUAUCCAGUGUAUGUUAUUGGUGUCUUUGUCAAAAAUGAGUUCACUACAAAUGUAUGAAUUUUCUUCUGGAUUCACUAUUCUGUUCUAUUGGUCUACAUGUCUGUUUUAAUGUCAGUACCAUGCUGUUUUGGUUAGUAUAUCUUUACAGACUAUUUUGAAGCCAAGUAGUGUGGUGGUUCCAGUUUUGUUUGGUUUUGCUUUUGCUUAAGAUGCCUUUGAAUAUUCUUUUAUGUGGUUUUAUAUAAAUAUUAGAAUUUUGUUUCUACUUCUGUGAAGAAUGUCAUUGGUAUUUUGAUGGGAUUGCAUUAAAUCUGUAAAUUGAUUUGGCAGUAUGAACAUUUUAACAACAUUGAUUAUUUUAUUUCAUGCAAUAUAAAAUACCUUUUCAUUUUGUUUCAUCUUCUUUAAUUUCUUUAAUUUAUAUUUUACAGAUUCAUUAUAGAAAUCUUUCCCUUAUUUAGUUGUUUAUUCCUACUUAUUUGUAAGUAUUGUAAAGAAAAUUUUUUUUCAGAAUGAUUUCUAUUGGGAUAUAGAAAUGCUACUAAUUUUUGUAUGUUGGUUUUCUAUCCUGCAUUAUUACUUAAUUUCAAAUCUCUCUUUAAAAUACAUUUUAUAAGAAAGAAAGAAAUAAAAUUCAUAGAAAA
This 6289-nucleotide long non-coding RNA is filed under the name Homo sapiens (human). RNAcentral describes it as "non-protein coding lnc-VSTM2B-9:29". Lineage: Eukaryota; Metazoa; Chordata; Mammalia; Primates; Hominidae. The record is from RNAcentral.